UCAGUUUUGGCGGGUUGAAUGAUUGAUCCAAGAACGAACUCCACCUUGUUAUUUGCAAAAAGAGCCGUGAUGAAGGAUCCGUUCCAUGAAUGAUAGUUUGUGGUAUUUAGAACGGGUGAGACAAAGAAUAUGGGGGGGGGGGUUUCAUUGGGGUGAAGGUAAAUAUACGAAUGUGUAGGAUGGAUGGGGGGAUGUGUACCAGUGUUAGCCAUUGCAGGCAAAAGAAGAGCAAGAACAAGAAUGUAGAAACAAGAACAGGAGUGCAUAAAUCAGAGAGCAACAUAAAUUUCUUCUGAUACCAUCAUAGAUUUACAAUGCAGCAAUAAAAAAAGAAAGCCAAACAGGGAGAGAAAAAAGAAGAGAGAGGCCAGAGAAAAGGAUGCAAAGAAGAAUGUAAAGUUUAUUGAUGUUACAAAGAGAUAUAAGAGAAGAAAUAUAUAGGAAAAGAGACUGAAACAGAAUAACAGAAAGGCGUAGGCCAAACAGUAAACCAAGCGGUCUAGCUAAGUGAGACCGAACAAUAUACCGAACCUUCACAAGACCGAACUAUGAUGUGGCUUGUGCAGCAAAUCAACACAGCCGAGCGAUUCAAGUUAAUAAGACCAAAUGAUACAAUGAAUCAACACAAGACCG
This 633-nucleotide long non-coding RNA is filed under the name Vigna radiata. RNAcentral's name for it is "long non-coding RNA (VRAD_LNC013336)". The record is from RNAcentral. Lineage: Eukaryota; Viridiplantae; Streptophyta; Magnoliopsida; Fabales; Fabaceae.